RNAcentral lists this long non-coding RNA (2597 nucleotides) under Oncorhynchus kisutch (coho salmon). RNAcentral's name for it is "lncRNA (ENSOKIG00005026510.1)". The record is from RNAcentral. Lineage: Eukaryota; Metazoa; Chordata; Actinopteri; Salmoniformes; Salmonidae.
CAGCAGAUGGCGAUGAGCGUCUUUCAGGUGACUCUUCUUGCGUGACGUAUAAUGGACUGGACGGACGCUUCUUCAGGAACAACAAGGCGCCAACUCUUUCAACCACGUCGGUAGCUUGCUAGCCAACAUACGUUUUAGACCAUGUUAAUGUACAUUAGCUAAUCUCAGUGUUUUAAACAAGUUUCGCUUGACGUAUCAACUGGUUCAAUUUGCAAACGUGUUAAAGAUUGAUACUGAGCCUAGCACGAGGCUAGAUGCUAAUGCUAGCUAGCUAGCUAACAUCCCUGACCAUGAGCUCACUAAACUACUCCUCCCUUGCUAAUGAAGAGGGGGUCUGCUGUUUGGAGAAAGAAUCUUUCAGAAUGAAAAAGGAGGAAGAGGAGGCUGUUAUAGUGAAAGAAGAGAAAGAACCGUUUAGAGAGGAAGAUGAUGCUAUCUCAAUAAAGGUGAAGGAGGAAGACGUUUUGGGAGUGAAAGAGGAAGAGACAGAAUAUCAGAUUACCACCAGAGAGACACAUGACUAUCGUGGAUCCUCUGGGGAGCCUCAACAACAUCCUGAUGCUGACGAGGAAGAGAAGAGUCUCUCCAGACCAGAACACCAGAUGGUACAGCUUGGUCUCGUCUAGCAUACAGCUUUCUCUAUCGGGCUCUGGGCUGGGUUUCUGUAGAGCACUUUAUGUCAACAGUGGCAUCAGCAUCCAUAAUGAUGUGUCUGUGUCCCCUCUUUAUGGUUACCAGGACAACACUAGCCCUUCCUCCCUCCCGGAGUCACCUUGUCGUGGCUCUCCCGGUAGCACCUUACUGCUGGGUAUGAAGAGGUCUGUGCUGCUGGUGGACUGCAGGAAAACAACGGGGAUGAGUGGAACUGUGGGAGGAGGAGAAGAGAGGAACGGAUCAGAUUUGACUCAAAGAGAAAGACCAGACUCAGAGGAACCAGAGCCAGGGACGUCCAAACCAGCAAGGCGACACAGGUGCUCCCACUGUGGAAAGAGUUGUAACCAGAAAGCCACCUGAAAGCUCAUGAGAGAAUACACACAGGGGAGAAGCCUUACCACUGCUCCCAGUGUGGAAAGCGUUUCAACCAAAAAGCCACCCCUGAAACAACACGAGAGAAUACACACAGGAGAGAAGCCUUAUCACUGCUCCCAGUGUGGAAAGAGUUUUAACAAUUUAGGGAACCUGAAACAACAUAAGAGAAUACACACAGGGGAGAAGCUUACCACUGCUCCCAGUGUGGAAAGUGUUUCAACCAGUCAAGGGAGCUGAAACAACACGAGAGAAUACACACACACAGGGAGAAGCCUUACCACUGCUCCCAGUGUGGAAAGUGUUUCGACACAAGUCAAGGGAGCUGAAACAACACGAGGGAAUUCACACAGGGGAAAAGCCCUACCACUGCUCCCAGUGUGGAAAGAGUUUUAACCAUUUAGGGAACUUGAAACAACAUGAGAGAAUACAACAGGGGAAAGCCUUACCACUGCGCCACUGUGUGUGGACAGCGUUUCAACCAAAAAGCAACCCUGAAACAACACGGAGAAUACACACAGGAGAGAAGCCUUAUCACUGCUCCCAGUGUGGAAAGAGUUUUAAACAAUUUAGGGAACCUGAAACAACAUGAGAGAAUACACACAGGGGAGAAGGCGCUACCCAUGCUCCCAGUGUGGAACGUGUUUCAACCAGUCAAGGGAGCUGAACCAACACGAGAGAAUACACACAGAGGGAAGAAGCCUUACCACUGCUCCCAGUGUGGAAAGUGUUUCAACCAGUCAAGGGAGCUGAAACAACACGAGAGAUACACACAGGGGAGAUCUUACCUUUACCACUGCUCCCAGUGGAAGAGUUUCAACAAUUUAGGAACCUGAAACAACUGAGAGAAUACACACAGGGGAGAAGCCUUACCAAUGCUCCCAGUGUGGAAAGCGUUUUAACAAUUUAGGGAACCUGAAACAACAUGAGAGAAUACACUCAGGGGAGAAGCCUUAUCACUGCUCCCAGUGUGGAAAGAGUUUUAACAUUUAGGGAACCUGAAACAACAUGAGAGAAUACACACAGGGGAGAAGCCUUUCCACUGCUCCCGGUGUGGAACGUGUUUCAAAUGGUCAGGGGAGCUGAAACAACAUGAGAAUACACACAGGAGAAGCCUUAACCACUGCUCCCAGUGUGAAAGAGUUUUUAACAAUUUAGGGAACCUGAAACAACAUGAGAGAAUACACUCAGGGGAGAAGCCUUAUCACUGCUCCCAGUGUGGAAAGAGUUUUAACAAUUUAGGGCACCUGAAACAACAUGAGAGAAUACACACAGGGGAGAAGCCUUACCACUGCUCCCAGUGUGGAAAGUGUUUUAAACAGAAACAAAAACAACACCUGAACCACAUGGGAAAUACACACAGGGGAGAAGCCUUAACACUGCUCCAGUGUGGAAAGGGUUGUAACCAGUUAAGGGACCUGAAAACACAUGAGAGAAUACACAUAGGGGAGAUGUCCUACCAUUGCAAUGUUAGUGAUUCUGAAAAUACUUGAGAGAAUACAUACAGGAGAAAAGCUGUACCACUGUUACCAGUGUGGAAAGAGUUUUUCCCACUUAUGUCAACUGAAAAC